Chelonia mydas (Green sea turtle) is the source of this 1465-nucleotide long non-coding RNA. RefSeq lists it as uncharacterized. The record is from RefSeq and is a predicted model, not a curated record. Lineage: Eukaryota; Metazoa; Chordata; Testudines; Cheloniidae. The transcript has 3 exons.
AGUUCCUGGCUGGAGCCAGAGGAAUGAGGAGGGAUGCUCCCUAGGCUACAGCCAGAGAAACCAAGCUGGGCCAGGGCCCGUUGUUGGCCACACACAGGAGUCCAGAUGGAACCCUGCGGAUUCAAUUCCAGAGAGCAAAUUUAACUGGGAAAGAAGGUGGUUUGGAUUCUGCAACCUGGCCACAAGGCCAAGCCACAAAAGACCUGCAGAGGCUGAAGGAGGUGCUGGGAGCUGAAGAGAAUGGCAGUGUGGCACCCGAAUAUCAAGGAGGCACUCGAGUUUCACUGAGAUGAGGAAUGCUGAGGCAUUGCCCUCACUAAGUCGGAGGCCACCCCUACCAGAAUCCAGAAGCAAGUAAGCGGAUCUUGAACGCUAAAGCAAACAGCUUGCAGUCCCUGUAUACAGCUAUUGCUGCAGGCAGUCUUCGUCUUCGUGUUGUGGGAAACUGUUCAUCUAGAUCAGCCUGGCCUUAUAGGAGAUAAGAGAUUCAAUAACAGGAUAAGUCUUUGACAACUACAGAGUAGGUGGCAUCCAGGGGGAAAGGAGUGCAUUGUUGUGCUGUUAAAGGGGACUUGCAGUUUGAAAGAAGCUGAUGGUGAGAGUUACAGUAUGACCUUAGCACAAGAAAGGCAUCGCUGGGUACCCCUGGGGAAAAAAUAAAAAUAAAUCACAGUUUCCACAAUGUCUUUAUCCCCACCUCUCAUUUCCCCCUUCCGUCUAACCCUGCUGCAAAUGAUGGGAGUCAGUAGUGCAACCUGCUUCCUCUUCAGUGGCUUACUAUCUAUGAAAUGACUCCCAGGUAUCCAGAUCAUAGCCAGCACCUUAAUUGUCAGCCAAGAAACUGAGGAUUAUGUGGGCACAGAAGACACACUAUCCUCUCAUUUGUAGAGGUGGGCCCUUCAGCCCAUGGUUCAGGCACUUGGGAGGGGUAAUAUGUAGAAGAUUGCUCUAUUGUUAGCUAGCCUGCACCUGUGCUGUGAAUAGAGCGAAUUUAAAAUUUUUGCUCAAAAUAUUUUCUCAACAAAAAACAUCACUUUUGUCAAAAUGGAAGUUUUCAUAGGAAAUAUCCCAAAAAGAAAUCAAACAUGAAAAUUGAAAUUUUUUUGAAAAAUUCUUGGGUUUUGGCAACAAAAAAUUGUAACUGGUCGGAUGAAAAUUUCCAAAAAACCCCCCAAUUUUUGCCCCCCAAACUAUUUUGUUUUCAUCGGUUUUUCAUAGGAAAAACCCCAUUUCAUGAGCACCAUCAUAUGAGACUAAAUUGAGGUUUUUGUUCUUCUGGACUGUCAGUUGGUCAAUUUUCACAAGAAUCAAAUUCACAAAAAUGAGAAAAAUCACAAAUAUCUAAUAAAAUGAAGACAGCUGCCUGAGCAUGUGAUGUCAUCGAUGGUGACAAAAAAUUCAGGGAUCAGGACAGAGGCAAAAAGUGGUGGCCUUCUACUAAAGCAAUGGUUCCCUUAAAUGGUUU